This 854-nucleotide long non-coding RNA is filed under the name Triticum aestivum (bread wheat). RNAcentral describes it as "long non-coding RNA (TAES_LNC002339)". Lineage: Eukaryota; Viridiplantae; Streptophyta; Magnoliopsida; Poales; Poaceae. The record is from RNAcentral.
ACAAAGUCAUCUUCAAGAAAAUAAUAUGCAGUUUCAUUUUCAAACUUCUUUAGCCACAUAAUCUAAGUAAUUUUCAAACUCCUUAUGCGGCUUUAGAUCACAGGCUCAUAAACGAGAACACAUUGGCACAAUCAGACGACACACAAACAAAUCAUAGAGGCUCGAGCUAGAGCAAAUCAUGGGUAUCAUCUCGGAGGCUCUUUUUGCCUUCCGCAUACACAAUCAUACACUCACUACUUCAUGUGCAGAACCAAAAUCCUCAUUCUUGAAAACAGGAGCCGGAGCCGAGCGCCGCUUCGCCAUCACCAACUGCUACGCCGCAGGCCCACACGACGCCGUGGAGAGGUACACUUUGCCGACUCUGGGGUCGCCACCGCUGACGCCGGCUGGCCGGACGCGGGUGGGCUAACUGCACUCCUUGCAGGCCUAGCCAAUGGGGUGAGACCCAGUUCUCAAGAACAUGAUGACCGCCGCUGUUUUGCUGGUUGAACGACCUCAUCGUGGCACACGCAGAUCUCCUUGGCACUUGUCGAGGAAGAGGCGGUCAACAUGGUGAGGUCGUUCAACCGGCAAAAACGCCGGCUCCUCGUCAGGUAGCUCAUCGUCAUGUUCAUCCUCGCCCACGAUGUACGGGAGGAUAUGUCUCCGAUCAUGGCAUCGCAGUAGAGACCGGCCCGGGACCUAAAACAUGCCAACAAUUAGAUUAGAGACUAGUAGCAUUUUCUUGAUCUUAGCACUUGUAACUAGAACGUCUGUAACAAACGAACGAACGAACGAUCAUUGCACUAAGACCAGAGAAACAGACUUGAUACUUGCUUGUGCGAGAGCCGAGCUCUGCUUCACGAGCUGUGUGU